ACGGCUCAGUAACACGUGGAUAACCUGCCCUAAGGAAGGGGAUAACCCCGGGAAACUGGGGAUAAUACCCUAUAGGUUAUAGAUGCUGGAAUGCUCUGUAACUCAAAGUUCCGGCGCCUUAGGAUGGAUCUGCGGCCGAUUAGGUUGUUGUUGGGGUAAUGGCCCAACAAGCCUGUAAUCGGUACGGGUUGUGGGAGCAAGAGCCCGGAGUUGGAUUCUGAGACACGAAUCCAGGCCCUACGGGGCGCAGCAGGCGCGAAAACUUUACAAUGCGGGCAACCGUGAUAAGGGAACCUCGAGUGCCUGUAUAUGCAGGCUGUCCAGGUGUCUAAAACACACCUGAAGAAAGGGCCGGGCAAGACCGGUGCCAGCCGCCGCGGUAAUACCGGCGGCUCGAGUGGUGGCCACUUUUAUUGGGCUUAAAGCGUUCGUAGCUGGGUUGUUAAGUCUCUUGGGAAAUCUGGCGGCUUAACCGUCAGGCGUCUAAGGGAUACUGGCAAUCUUGGAACCGGGAGAGGUGAGGGGUACUUCGGGGGUAGGAGUGAAAUCCUGUAAUCCUCGAGGGACCACCUGUGGCGAAGGCGCCUCACCAGUACGGCUUCGACAGUGAGGGACGAAAGCUGGGGGGAACAUUCGAAUUAAAUAUCCUUUGUGGUUGACUUCGGAGAAAU
This 671-nucleotide ribosomal RNA is filed under the name uncultured archaeon. Its description in RNAcentral is "bacterial SSU rRNA". It matches the Rfam family "Archaeal small subunit ribosomal RNA", at positions 85 to 769 of the family's 1478-position model. The record is from RNAcentral.